ACGCAGAUUUUUAUGCGGUUGAAAAAAUACUUUUCACUUUUUCACUGGUCCCGAGAAAACACACGCGUCAAAAAUCACAAGCGUUGUCGAUCCACACCGAACGGAAGUCAAACCCGAAGUCUAUUUUAACGCGAGCUGAUUGCACACUGAAACUAAUGUUGGAGUAAAUACAACCGCUGCAUAGUUCUUAAAAUUACUAUUCAGGAUUAUGUUAAAAUUUAACGUGUUUGUCUUUACAAAUACUGCAAUAUUGUUAAAAUUACUAUGCCAUCAAUCGAUAAAUUUUACUAUCAUGAGAAGUCAAGAGCACUGUUGCCCUGCAUUGAAGAUAAAUACAAGAUCGGUAAUUUUUAAUGAACAAUGUUGUCAUUUUUACUAUGUGCAUGGUAAUUUUAACAACAAAACGUAGUAAUAAUGACCCCACCAACUUGGAUGUUUUUCUCCGUCAACUUGUAAAGGAUUAACAUCAGCGCGAAUAUAAAAGACUUUUGUUUUGUGUUUUGGACGUAAUAUUAAGCAAUGUUUUUAUAGUAACUAUUCUACCCAUGCUGCUAUUAAUCCAGAAUUUCCAGAAUUGAUUGCAUCGUGCAAUUUCCAGACCCAAAUAAGUGAUCCAAAAUAUAAUUUAAGACUACUUCAUUCUACUUUUAUUGAAAAUUUGAGCGAUGGUGAGCAGAUUCUGCAUGUGCCGCCAUGUUCCAUCAGAGAUCAAUGAAGGCAAAUACGGACAUAAAGUCCUCUGCAUGACUCCACUACGAUCGCCGUUUUUGAAAUCCAAAAAUCCUGUUUUUAAUGGACUAGAAAACACAAUACAUUAUCAGAGAAUUUAUUCUUCAAUAAAUAAUUACGAUUGAUGGAA
Aedes aegypti (yellow fever mosquito) is the source of this 859-nucleotide long non-coding RNA. RefSeq lists it as uncharacterized. The transcript has 3 exons. The record is from RefSeq and is a predicted model, not a curated record. Lineage: Eukaryota; Metazoa; Arthropoda; Insecta; Diptera; Culicidae.